UUCCAAAAAGUGGAUUGGUGCCACUGAAUGUGCUGCCCUUUUCCGUUCUUUUGGUUUUCGGGCAAGGAUUGUUGAUUUUGGUCCUAAAGAAGUGGAAUCUCUUUUUCUCUCUGUUCCUGGUGCCCAUAUGGGCUUUGUGAGGACAAAGGCCAGAGUAUAUGGGCCCAUGGAUAGAUAUCUGGUUGAUAGAAAUAGUGAUGUCUCCCAACCAGACUUUACUGCCUAUGCCAAUUGUCGAAGCUCUUCGAGUCACUUGGCUGAAGUGAGCAAUCAAACUAUGACAAGUAACUUUUCAAGGAACAAUGAAGGUCAUCAGGUUCUCCUUGAUUGGGUGUGGAAUUAUUUUUCUCAAGGUAGCUCAACAACACAUGCCGACCGUUGUCAUGUUACCGUUACUGACAGAACGCCCUUGUAUUUUCAACAUGAUGGACACUCAAGAACCAUUGUUGGGAUUGAAGUCAGACAUCAAAAGAAUGGAAAACUGCAAUUCAGUCUCUUGAUUUUGGACCCUGGUCAUAGAACAGAAGCUCUAGAAAAAUCACUGAAAGAAAAUACCAUAUGGAAGAAGC
Molecule: unclassified non-coding RNA, 569 nt
Filed under: Hevea brasiliensis (rubber tree)
Lineage: Eukaryota; Viridiplantae; Streptophyta; Magnoliopsida; Malpighiales; Euphorbiaceae
Source: RNAcentral